UUUUUCAUAUAAGCGCGCUUUGGUCGAGUCGAGUUGUUUGGGAGUACAGCUCUAAUUGGGUGGUAUACUUCAUCUAAAGCUAAAUAUAGACAAGAGUCCGAUAGAGAACAAGUACCGCGAGGGAAAGAUGAAAAGAACUUUGAGAAGAGAGUGAAAUAGUGCUUGAAAUUGUUUAGGGGAAAAGCGAAUGGAGUUUUAUGUUUUUUCAUGCAUGUUUCAUUUUUUUUUAAUAAAGGAAUGGUUUCGUGUUGAAAAAGAAAAAUCGAAGUUUUUUUUAUCAUUUUUCUGUUUUGUCAUUUCUGUAAGUAACAAUACAAUGGCUUCGGUUUUAAGUUUUAUGUCAGUUUCCUUUUUGUUAGCGUAAAGAGAUAUAUGUAUAGAAGAUGUUUAUUUUA
RNAcentral lists this ribosomal RNA (395 nucleotides) under Cryptomonas paramaecium. RNAcentral's name for it is "Cryptomonas paramecium partial Eukaryotic large subunit ribosomal RNA". It matches the Rfam family "Eukaryotic large subunit ribosomal RNA", at positions 237 to 631 of the family's 3401-position model. The record is from RNAcentral. Lineage: Eukaryota; Cryptophyceae; Cryptomonadales; Cryptomonadaceae.